UAGAGGAUCCAAAGCAGGCUCUUCACUGGGAGUGGAGAGCAGGAUGCAGGGCUCAAGCUCACAUACCAGGAGAUCAUGACCUGAGCUGGAGUCGGAUGCUCCACUGACUGAGCCACCCUGGCACCGCACUCCUGCAUUAUCUUAUGCUUCAAACUGAGAUGACCCCCAUACCUCGAUGGUGUAUAGGCGGGGUGACUCAUUUGUCUACAUAUGAAGAGGGAUUCUGAAAAAAGCCCUGAGAUCAAAAUACGGCCCUUGGGAGCUGUCCCCCUGGGGCCAUGGAAAGGGGAGACUCCAGAGGUCUGACUUGUAGCUGUCCUCAUCUGCUCCACAAGUGUCUGUCGCACGGGUCCAGGGGAAGUCUCUUUCCUUACUCCCUCCCUUUCAAGUACCUAAUAGCUCCUCACUCUCCAGUGAAGCUCGCACCAAACACGCCCCGGGCACAGAACUGUCGGUGCCUCAACCUACUUCUCCAGUUUUGUCUCAUGUACUGUGUGUUCCAGCCAAUUUGUACUCCUCUGUUCCCUGAACACAUCCUGUACUUUUCAUCCGGAUGCCUUUGUUCCUGUAGCUCAUUCCACUUGCAACGCACCUUCUCCCUCUGUCGAAACUCCGUCGAAUCUUCAGGACUCACUUCCAAUGCUACCCCCUGCCCCCCCAGAGUGGCUUCUGAUGCUCCAAAGAGGAUGUGAACUCUGUCACUGUUUUCCAUACUUGGUAAUCAUGUAGGAAUAUGCCCUUGUUGCCCUUCUGCAUUAUAAACCCCUUAAAGACAGGAACUAAUAAACCUUCAUUGAAUUUUAUAAAUUUAAUGUUUCAUUCUAUUUGGCACUCUCAGACCUGCGGGCAGUGGUGUUUUGGAACUGAUGUCGGAGGGGGAUUUUUCUAAAUAAAUAAGGGCCAGCUCAUGGGGUUGGGAGAUGGUAUUUGAGCACAUUGUUGGCUUCAGACAUGAAAAGAUUAAUACCUUAAAGUGCUUUAAACGGGUGGCUAACAUGUAAAAUUAAUACCAGUUAACAAAACUUCUCUCCUUUUGCCAUCCAGAUAUUAAAAACAUCCACAACUUGUUUUUAUGCAGAAUUUCCUGCUGCUAAGUAUCAGCUCUAGCCAUCUAGGUGAAUAAUCAAGUGUCAUUUCUAAUAAGUCAGCGGCUCCUGUCAAGAGUUGUGACCAAUUAGAACUCACCCCGAUGAGGAGGUGGCUGCUGGGGUUGCCAAGCAACAGCCAAGCUGGGAGGCACAUUUAGAUGCUCGGUUAGAUUUAACCAGUGGCAAGUCAGAGUGACAUUAUGAUUCUGGCAAAGGAAAGCCAAAUUAUAGCCCAGGAUGGGGUACCCGUGAUGAGGAGUGUGUUUUCUUUUAAAUGCAAAUGGAAAAGGAACAUUUUAACCAGAAUUUAAGCAGUCCAUCAUUAUACUGAUUUUAAUUAGGAGAUUAGGUGUCAGUGGAAUACAACUGUGUUGAAAGAUAAUGGUCUCUUGCUGCUAGAUAAAUACCCAGACAUUCUGCAAAAUGGGCAACUGGUCAGGCAGGGACAAUGUCUUUUUGGACUCUGAAGUAUUUAUUGCCACACAGCCACACUUGGUUAUAAUGACUUUCAUUUUUAUUGUUUGAAAAGAUUAAGAAAUAAACGCAAAUAUUAAAAAUAGACUGCUGCAGGCUCAUGCAGCCGAGAGAAAGCUGCUUGCUGCAACAUUACUGGAAGGCUGGGUCCUGUCCUAGAGGCCCUCGUGCAUGAUCAUCCGGAAAGUGUACGGUGAAAAUUUAAAGGCCAAACUAAACCAUGAUGAAGACUGUAAUUCUGUGAAGCCUUUUGCACUGAAAUGAUCGUAGCUAUGCAUUUACUCAUAAGCUGGCUAUAUCAACUUAAAUUUUUUUAAAUUGUAGUCAUUCUGGAGUAAUAUGUCUUCUCCAAGGCAGGAAAGGCCUGGAGGGAAUAAUAACCACAUCUGCCUCUGCCUUUAAGAUUCAUACAUUAUUGACUGUGCCUUCCUGACAGGAAACAUCUGGAUGAAAGUGAAAAAUUAGGCAGAGAGCUGGAUUCUCGGCGACUGUGAGAGAUACCAGCCUUCCCUGUCGGUCUGGCUUUUCUUUAACUGAGUCCCUAUCCACAGAGAUAUGAUUGGCUCAUUUAGUGUUGAGUGACACGCCCAGCCUGGCUCAGGCUGUCAUGUCUGAAGCUUCCAGGUCUCCUGUAUCUGCUCAGUCACCAUCAGCUUAGUUUUGUGGGUGAAUGAGGCAAUAACCAUCACUUCUACAGUGCUUUGAGGACUGAGAAGACACAAGCCACCAUAUUGGGUUGGAUCCGUGGUCCAACCAAUUUGGAGCCACUUAAAAAUGGCCGCCCUUCAUGGAUUCUACCACGAAAGUCACCGCGCCCCGUGGCCUCAUUUCUCUCAGUAGCUGAGUUUGAUGUUAACGACCCAUGCUUUCACCUACUAAAAACUUAACUGAAACUUAAGCCCGGAACAAGAUUAAACGGAUUUCUUCACUGCAGAUCUCUCCCAACCUGUUAAUAUGUUAAGGUAGAUAGCAAAUCGCUCAGAAGAUGGUUUGCAGUAUUUUCCGGAAUUGUAUGACCACGGGUCCUGUCAAACCCUUUUCCUCAGUAGUAAUUCAUAGCUCGAAAGUUCAUUGUCAUAGAAGUAUAGUUUUGAUGCUUUUCUCUUAAAUGUAUUAUUUUGUAUUUUCUUGGUUACACUGAAAGCCAGCUGCCACUUUUGUGUUGACUUACACAAUCUUAGAAGAAUGUUAGAAACUUAUUCUAAUUGAUGUGAUAUUUCUAAAAUCAGAAGCGCUUAGAGGAAUAUACAAAUGUGUAGAUUUCAUAGUGUGCUCCCUCUUUCAGAUGAAUUAUAAAAUUCAAAAAUAAGAUUAGUGCUAACCUCGGUCCCCAGGGAAUCCCCCUUAUUUAUAUUUUUCCCUCAGAGGAGAAUUAAUUUAGCCCCAGUUUUGUUUCUUAAAAUUAAAUCUAUUUACUUCCUGACCCCUAAUAAAGUUUUACACAACCCCAGGGUUACUCAUUAAUCGUCUUUGGUAAAGAAUCUAGCACAAGACUCUAAAAAUCUCAAUAAAUCUACUGGUUGCCCUUUUUAAAAACUUAAUCUUUUAGGGGACAGGGUGAAAACUCUGGCAGGUCAGCUGGGCAAAAUGCUCUCUAAUAAAAAAAAAUCCUUUGCUUCCUCAGCGGUGCUCAGCAGUCCUGUAACUUAAACCUCAAUAGCUUGGCUGUCACUGGACUAUGAUUUCGGUGGCCUUUUUUUCUGGAAUCAGGGAUGCAGCAACUACAUUUUCACCAGUUCUGCAUCUUUCUGUGUUACCCCUAGCCUUAAGCCGAAACCCAAUCUUCUUUUAAGUAAAAAUAUGGCUUCAUGAUAUAAUGCUGAUUCUAAAAUAACUUUCAAGCGUUGCUGACCCAUGCUGCCUAAUAUGCACACAGAUAAGGACGGUGCCAUCUAGAGCCUUUGAAUAUUAAUGACACUUACAGACACAGGUAGUAAAGGACUCAGACCACCAAGGUGCUAAAGGAAAAAAGCCUCAGAAUUCCAAGGGAAAGCAAAUCUUUAUUUCAAGAAUAAAUUCUGCAGUUUGAUAAUAAAAGUCCCCAAGCUACUUACAAAUUCAGAAAGGAAUGGAGAUAUUGAUAUUUCAAAGCUAUUUCAGGGAAAACGGACUCAGAUGCCCAUAAACCGAGUGGAGAGCAGGCUCGGGUCUGUUGUCCGAGCCUCUCUUAUUGCCUCUGCCCCUCCACCCCAUGUCCUUCUGUGCCUCAUUCUCCUCUCUGUGUCUUUGUGGUCUGUUUUUUUCUGUUUCUGCAUGUAUAGGCUCGUGACUCCAAAGAGAAAGCCAACGAUUUGCCUCCUCCCCUUAUUUAAUUUUUCCUUGAUAAAACUAUUUCCUUUUAUUUUUCUUUUAUCUUAGUCUCAACAUAUAUCCUUCAGUAGAAAGCUUCCUGACUCUUUGAUUCUUCAUUCAUCCAUCCAUUCAUUCAUCCAGCAAAUCAUUGAGUGCCUGUUCUGUGCCUAGUGCAAUGCAGUUAGCAAUAAAGAAAAGAGAAGUAAAGUAAAUGGACUGUUCACUGGCAAUAGCACUACAGAGAAAAAUAAACAAAGCAGGGAAGGGCAUAGAGAGUUCUGGGGCCCAGCUCCUGCAAGUCUGGGGAAGCCCUGAGUCUGAGAUGGUCAGGCAAGGGACCAAGAGGAAGACUCACACCAGUGCUUUCCACUCUGACUCUUAUCAGAAUUGUGCCAGGGAACUUGUAAAACAUACAGGUUCUCAGUCACCCUUAGACAUUCUCAUUCUGUAGGUCCUAGGGUGUCUAGAGUUAUGUAUUUUUAAAAAAUGUUUAUUUAUUUUGAGAGAGCGGGAAGGAGAGCGAGGUAGGGGCAGAGAGACAGAGGGAGAGAGAGAAGCCAAGCAGGCUCCGUGCCGCCAGCACAGAGCCCGUCACAGGGCUGGGACUCCAGAACCGUGAGAUCAUGACCUGAGCCUAAACCAAGAGUCGGACGCCUAACUGACUGAGCCACCAAGGCGCCCCUAGAAUUAAGUAUUUUAACAAGGAUCCUAGGUGAUUCUGGUGCAGCCCUUGGUCACACAGGUUUGAGGACCAGUGACAUAGAGAGCAAAGGCCAGUGGGAGGUUAAGGUCCAAAGAAUGCAUCCAGAAACUUAGAGGGUUAGUUUGGUUAACUAUUGGUUAACCCAAACUAUCGGUUAACUCAGUAUUUUACUGGCUACAUGUAAUAAAGGUGACUCACCUAUGCUGGGCAAGGAGGCAGUCAGGGGCACUAAAGUCUGGUACCCUGCCCUCCUCCCCCGCCCCUCCACCCAUCUUCCCCAGGAUAAAAGACCACCCCCUUGUCAUAGCCUCCAUCCCGUCUACAAUCUGGUGUAGAGUGAUGCUCCCCGCUCAGAGCCCCAAAUCUUGCUCUUUGGAUUCCAAAGGAAGCUCUCUUUGAAAUUAGGAAAACUCUUUUCUCUCCCAAGACUGUUUAACUUCCAAGACCCCUGUCCCAAUAGGACUCGAGAAAGCCCGAUCUGCUGUUCAAGACUGAGCACCGGCCUCCUUGUUCUUCUGGAAGGCACCCCCUUCCUCUUUCGGGAGCAACACGCACCAUUGACUCAGUGCAGGAAAGAAAAUCACAGGGCAUGUGAUUUAAUGUUUGAAAAUAUUAUCUUUGCCACAUAUUUUUUCAUCCUGGUGUUCCUUUCUAUUUCAGCAGCGCUGAACACCUCUGGCUGCUCCUUGCUCCUUGCUUCUUGCCAUGCAUUUCCCUUCCACUUUCUCCUGGACUCGCAGGCUUUUCUUCCCGAGGCUUACUUGUAGGUGUCUCCUCCGCCCUGCACUUAGAUAUGGUUCUCCCCACCACCCUCUUCUCUUCCUAGGUAGACUGCAUGCACUCUGGGGGUGAGCUCGCCCAUGUCUGGGUUUUUGAGGACCAUCUUUCCUGCCGUUCUCUCCUGAGCUCCAGAUCUGCAGUCAACUACUUGCUGAUGCAUCUAUUUAGAUGCCCCACCCCCCACCAAGAACCUUAAAUUCGCCCGGUCUAAAUGCUCCGGAGGUGGGGAGAAGGAGGUCUACUGCUGCCACUGGAAUGGCAUCCUUUCUAAUGGAAACCCAAGAACUUAAGCGUCCCCUUCCGGGUGAACUCCUGGCAGGCCCACGUGACCAGAUGGCAGCGCUACGUUUCUCAAAGGGCGUACCGAAUAGGAAACUGAGACCUAGAGAAGUUGCUCAAGGGGAGGACUUGAUCCGAGCCCGACAGCUGUGGAAGCCCAAGCCCCUCACCACUGCCUGUGCUGCCAUCUGUUCCAACGGACACCCUUCUCCCAGGCCGACACCCCGGUGUGGUGUGGCUCCAGUGCUGAGCAGGUGUGCAAGAGGAAGCAGCCAGAAGCCAGCUGUGCCGCCACUGUCUUAUAAAGGAGGAAACUCAGGGCGGCUUCUUGCUUCGUGGACCAGAACCCCUUCUCCAGCCCAGUUACCAAGUCCAAGUGCAGGCGUUCCGUGGGCAGCCUUCCACGCAGUGGAUUUGGUGGACUCAGCCUCCUUCAAUUUUGUGGCUCCGCCAUCCACUACCCCUGAGAUGCCCCUGCUGGAUCACCUGCAGCCAACUGGCUCAGGGGAAAAGCAAAGAAGAAAAGGUGGAAGCCUUUCCAGAACAGAGGGUGGACCUGAUUCAACAGUGUCUCUCCAGUGGCAAGGAGGAAGCCUGCCUGUCACUCAGUAGGUGUUCACGAAAUGUUGGAGCGAAUGAACGCCCGCCUGUGUUUCAGGUAGCAGCCACCAGAUGGCAACAGUGUUCUUUGGGCUAUGAAGGUAACCGGUGAGCUUUCUGCAAGAGCACCUGAAAUAAAUGGAGGUGGGUCCCCAUAAUCGCGGCACUCGGCUAUUUUUCUAAAACACAUAUCAGUUUAUCGAAAUAACCGCAAAGUCAUUGCUCAAGCCAGACCUUGUGCGAGAGACACAGCAAACAAAAUCCCGAGGUGGGUACCUGUGCACCACGGAGGGCUUGAACCCUUAGUACCAUUCUCCAUGGGAUCUCAGCAUGGUAUCGUCUAACUCGAGGGCCCGAGAACACCCAUUCAGACUCGUGAGCAUUUGACGCUUCUGAAGCCAUCCCAGCCCAACACCCUUGUGGCUGCCUGUGCCUGUUCCGGGUUCACUGGCUCUAAUUUUACCUCCUUAUCUUAUCAGGGUUUUUACCAGUAGACCAGUUUGGCCGGAGAGGAAGGUUUAUGAAGGUUCGUGAAAGAUAAGGUUGGCGGUAGGGAGGGGCCAGCAGAGGAGGCCUCUGGAUACCAGGCUGAGGAGUGUGGACUUUACCCCACACACGAUAAAGUAGCUGGCAGGCUCUUGUGCCGCACGCAUGUGCACGUGCGUGUGCAGGCAGGCGGCACGCGUGUGCAUGAGUCAAAGGGGAGUGGAAUGGGGAGGGACAGACAGGUACCAAACGGUGUCGAGAAGGAUGGGUGAUGGGGCUGGGGGGCAGCAAGGGAGGCCCGCGGGGGGUCACUGUAGCAACCUAAGGUGUGGGGCUGAGGCACCAGAUGGUGGGGGUGGCGGACGAGAGACGCCCAGAUGGAUUCAGGUAAGUUCUGCAGGGAGAUCCACUAGAGGAUUGGGUGAUUGAUUGGGAAGGACGGGGAGAGCCCAGAACCAAGCAAGGAGCUUCACUGUUGGACUAAACCCUGACCUUGUGCAAAUUAGAAGAAGGCCUGUCUUUCCCAGGACACUUGGCUUCUACCUGCCACCAAACUGUCUUGCCUGCAAAGCUCCCAGGUGAAUAGGCCCCUGAGGCAGCCAGUCCGUGCCCGCCCUGCUCCACGGUGGGGUGGGACCCCAGCAUUCCAAGCCUGGCUGCAGGAGGCAGAGACAGUAUUUCUGAGAGAAAUCGCUUAAGGAAAAGAGCAUCCCGAGUCUCAUACAUCUCCAGUGCCGUGGUUCUCAAACAUUAGUGGGCGUCAGACACACAGGGAGGGCUUGCUAAAACACAGGUCGCUGGGGGUCUGAUUGCGUAGAUCUGGGCUGGAGCCUGAGAACUUCCAUUUCUACCAAAUUCACCGGUGACACUGUUACUGCUGGUCCGGGACCACUCUUAGAGCCCUACCCAAACCAAAUGAAUCAGAAUCCAGAUAGGAGAGCAUCUCCUGGACAUCUUUCUUCCACCCACACGUUGGAUUCAAAGAUAGCACCUCUGGGGGCAGCUCAGGUCUGAAGACGCGGCUGUAUUUGAGCUGCAGGAUAUUGGCAAAUUGUUUGGUUCUGAUUGAUGAAUUUCCUCCAUUUCAUCUCUAAUACUCCCCUUUUCCCCCAGGAGAGGCUUCAGCUUCCCCUCUUUCCCUGACAGGAGUACCAGGCUGGCCCGAACUGUCCAGUCCUCCCUAACAAGCAAGGUGACCUGUGUCAAAACCUGCUUCUUUCAUAAUAAGUCCCUGCCACUUUGCUUUUUCUAGCUCUUCUAGAUAUCUUUUAGAGAUUCCAGAAUUUCCUGUGGGCCGGACAUGCCUGUUUACUGCUCACCUGCUGAAAAGGAGCUACCAGUUCCCCUGCCCCCCCCCCCCAUCCCCUGUCAUGAGCUCCUCCUACCCCAACCUGGGUCCCACCCCUGCCCUCUGCAGCCACCCAGUGCUUUGGAGUAGAUGUCUGCCUUAUCUGCCACCAAGGUUAUUUGAGGUUCUGCAGGAACUAAAAAAAGUGUGUCCUUUCUCUCAAUAUGGUAGUAGAAAGAAGAGGUAACAUAAGGUGUGUGUGGGAUAGAAGUAAAUAUGGGUCUGAAAAACCCACAUAAUUAUAUAAUGGAGAGAUACUGCCAAGGUAAAUUAAUAAGAAAACAGUUGGGUGAUGUUUACCGACAAAAUCAGUUUGGGGUGUGUUAUUCCCUGCAUUUCCUUUGUCAAACGAGCUACAGAUUGGAAGAAUGCGUCUCCAAAGAGGCAACCCCCUCAUGGAAGUGGCCAUGUUUUUCUGUCUGGUUCGUCAGGCUACCUAGAAACCAGGGAAAUUGCCAAGAAUUAGGUCCCUGGCUUCCCUGUUCAAGAGCCCCAGUCGUGCCAUGGAAUCAUCUCUAGUCCAGAAUUGUCAAGAAUGAACAGUCAGUUCUCCAAAGAUGUUGAUGUUUUCAAAGACGUGGGAAGAGUCUGUUCAUGCCUUUCUGUCCUUCUCCAGUGGGGAUAAUUUGGCUUUCAGACUAAUUGAAAGGCACAGCUCUUUUUUUGAAACAUCUACUGAGAACAGCUUUAUCCCUGUCACCCACACCACACCUCGGCUCGUGAAUCUUAGACUCUUGGGAGGCAUCUAUUCACCUCAGAUGUGACCCAUUAUCCACUGUAACAAAGAAUGGUUGUGUGUGCAGGGUAUACACAGAUUUGUACCCAUUAGAGGCAAGAAAUGAUGUUUCCCUGUAAAAGGAGAUUUUUAAGAAAUGUCAGUAUUUUCAGGUUGAAUCCAGUUAAAACUAAGUCCUUUCAAAUUCUACUUACGUGAAGUCAAAUUAAGUUCAGAAAUUAAAACCAAAAGGCUGAGAUCAUUCAAUUUAAAUUCAUGUGACCUCAGUCUUUUGAUUUUGCUUUUCAGACUGAUAUAUGUGUAUAGACAGAAUCUUAAAGACACCAAGCUUUUCUUGGGGGACGGAGUAAAAUUGACACAGGUUUUAUAAACAUUUAAUUCUUAUGAGACACGGGCCCAGACUAGCUGGCGUAGUUUGGGUAUGUGUGAUAGUUGGUUUUCACUCUGUUAUGAUUUGCUUUUAAAUAUUUAUUUGUGAAAUAUAAAUCUUGCUAACAUUGAAGUCUGUUCUGAAGCAAUGACUACUGCUUUUGCUGUUGCUUAAUGGAACUGUUGAAUCUUCUUAGAAAACAAAAAGAUUCAGUUAUAUAAACAGAUCAUACUAGUGAAGCAUCAAAUAACAAUUCUAGAGCCUCUGUGAGGCUGGAGCUACGUUCUGCAGAUGGGUGGUAAGUUAGGAACCCUAAGAUAACAGCCUACGUGGUCAAUCAAAAAAAAAAAUGUGAGUGACUCAAAAAUGCUGAGAAAGUAGGGUCUGUGUCCUUAAAUAACAAGCACUCACUUGAAAAAUUGGAAAAAUAUCACCAGUUUCAUCAGUACAUUUAUAGAUUCCUUUUCCAUUGAUCCAUUCCCAUUGCUAAUACACCUGUUAUGUAAUAGAUGCUUACUCACUGUUCUGUCCAGUCCGACAGGUAACGACACUUCCUGGUGGACGGCUCUGAUUUUCUGUCAGUCAGAAUGAUGAUUUAGAAUGUUCAGCUCAUUCAGUAAAACAGACUAGUUCUGAGCGUAAAGGCUGAAGGACAUCAAAUGUACAACUGUUUUAAAUGAUCGCUUUCCCACGAGUGAUGAAUUUACAUCCUAUAUGCUGUCAACAUGAACCAUGACACUCAUGGCCGUGGGGGACCCCCUGUCUGGGGACUAGCUGGGAGAGCACACCCUUUCCUACCUUGAAUGUAUGAAUAAAUUAUUCACAGCUAUAAA
This is a long non-coding RNA of Felis catus (domestic cat), 9989 nucleotides long. RefSeq lists it as uncharacterized. The record is from RefSeq and is a predicted model, not a curated record. NCBI's taxonomy places the organism in Eukaryota, Metazoa, Chordata, Mammalia, Carnivora, Felidae. The transcript is spliced from 6 exons.